UUUUAUGGAGAGUUUGAUCCUGGCUCAGAGUGAACGCUGGCGGCGUGCCUAAUACAUGCAAGUCGAACGAUGAAGCUUCUAGCUUGCUAGAAGUGGAUUAGUGGCGCACGGGUGAGUAAGGUAUAGUUAAUCUGCCCUACACAAGAGGACAAC
This 153-nucleotide ribosomal RNA is filed under the name Campylobacter jejuni. RNAcentral describes it as "partial 16S ribosomal RNA". It matches the Rfam family "Bacterial small subunit ribosomal RNA", at positions 1 to 147 of the family's 1533-position model. Lineage: Bacteria; Pseudomonadati; Campylobacterota; Epsilonproteobacteria; Campylobacterales; Campylobacteraceae. The record is from RNAcentral. RNAcentral also lists the same sequence under 1 other name.